This 492-nucleotide ribosomal RNA is filed under the name uncultured bacterium. Its description in RNAcentral is "partial 16S ribosomal RNA". It matches the Rfam family "Bacterial small subunit ribosomal RNA", at positions 29 to 507 of the family's 1533-position model. The record is from RNAcentral.
AGUGAACGCUGGCGGUAGGCCUAACACAUGCAAGUCGAACGGCAGCACAGUAAGAGCUUGCUCUUACGGGUGGCGAGUGGCGGACGGGUGAGGAAUACAUCGGAAUCUACUUUUUCGUGGGGGAUAACGUAGGGAAACUUACGCUAAUACCGCAUACGACCUACGGGUGAAAGCAGGGGAUCUUCGCACCUUGCGCGAUUGAAUGAGCCGAUGUCGGAUUAGCUAGUUGGCGGGGUAAAGGCCCACCAAGGCGACGAUCCGUAGCUGGUCUGAGAGGAUGAUCGGCCACACUGGAACUGAGACACGGUCCAGACUCCUACGGGAGGCAGCAGUGGGGAAUAUUGGACAAUGGGCGCAAGCCUGACCCAGCCAGACCGCGUGGGUGAAGAAGGCCUUCGGGUUGUAAAGCCCUUUUGAUGGGAAAGAAAAGCAGCAGGUUAAUACCCCGCUGUUCUGACGGUACCCAAAGAAUAAGCACCGGCUAACUUCGUG